This 258-nucleotide long non-coding RNA is filed under the name Lathyrus oleraceus (garden pea). Its description in RNAcentral is "Pisum sativum (pea) long non-coding RNA (PSAT_LNC004038)". Lineage: Eukaryota; Viridiplantae; Streptophyta; Magnoliopsida; Fabales; Fabaceae. The record is from RNAcentral.
UUCAAUUAGGUUAUUUUUGUUCAUUUUUAAUUGGUUAAAAAUAGUUUCUGACUUUUAAAAAUGCUGAAAUUUUUUGUCAAAUUUAGUUUGUCCUUGUUGAACUUGGGAUAAAUUACUUGGACCUUUCAAGGUAGAUUUGAAGUGAUUUUGAAGUUUGACCUUUCUUUUAUUUUUAAUUCAAGAUUAAUUAAAUAUUAAAAAAUGCCAAAAAUAUUUUGUUCAUUUCUUGACUUCUAAUCUUCAUCUCACUUAUGUUUU